GAUGAACGCUAGCGGCAGGCCUAACACAUGCAAGUCGAGGGGUAGAAGGAGCUUGCUCCUUUGAGACCGGCGCACGGGUGCGUAACGCGUAUGCAAUCUACCUUGUACAGGGGAAUAGCCCAGAGAAAUUUGGAUUAAUGCCCCAUAGUAUAUAACCUUCGCAUGUUGGUUAUAUUAAAGUUCCAACGGUACAAGAUGAGCAUGCGUCCCAUUAGCUAGUUGGUAAGGUAACGGCUUACCAAGACGAUGAUGGGUAGGGGUCCUGAGAGGGAGAUCCCCCACACUGGUACUGAGACACGGACCAGACUCCUACGGGAGGCAGCAGUGAGGAAUAUUGGUCAAUGGUCGCAAGACUGAACCAGCCAUGCCGCGUGCAGGAAGACGGUCCUAUGGAUUGUAAACUGCUUUUAUACAGGAAGAAACCCUCCCACGUGUGGGAGCUUGACGGUACUGUAGGAAUAAGGAUCGGCUAACUCCGUG
This 480-nucleotide ribosomal RNA is filed under the name uncultured bacterium. RNAcentral's name for it is "partial 16S ribosomal RNA". It matches the Rfam family "Bacterial small subunit ribosomal RNA", at positions 28 to 507 of the family's 1533-position model. The record is from RNAcentral.